UACGAAGGGGACUAGCGUUGUUCGGAAUUACUGGGCGUAAAGCGCACGUAGGCGGCUCUGUAAGUCAGGGGUGAAAUCCCGGGGCUCAACCUCGGAACUGCCUUUGAUACUGCAAAUCUCGAGUCCGAUAGAGGUGGGUGGAAUUCCUAGUGUAGAGGUGAAAUUCGUAGAUAUUAGGAAGAACACCGGUGGCGAAGGCGGCCCACUGGAUCGGUACUGACGCUGAGGUGCGAAAGCGUGGGGAGCAAACAGG
RNAcentral lists this ribosomal RNA (253 nucleotides) under uncultured bacterium. RNAcentral describes it as "partial 16S ribosomal RNA". It matches the Rfam family "Bacterial small subunit ribosomal RNA", at positions 524 to 776 of the family's 1533-position model. The record is from RNAcentral.